CCAGGCCCAGUGCCAGCACCCUCCUGAACCACUCUUUCUUCAAGCAGAUCAAGCGACGUGCCUCAGAGGCUUUGCCCGAAUUGCUUCGUCCUGUCACCCCCAUCACCAAUUUUGAGGGCAGCCAGUCUCAGGACCACAGUGGAAUCUUUGGCCUGGUAACAAACCUGGAAGAGCUGGAGGUGGACGAUUGGGAGUUCUGAGCCUCUGCAAACUGUGCGCAUUCUCCAGCCAGGGAUGCAGAGGCCACCCAGAGGCCCUUCCUGAGGGCCGGCCACAUUCCCGCCCUCCUGGGCAGAUUGGGUAGAAAGGACAUUCUUCCAGGAAAGUUGACUGCUGACUGAUUGGGAAAGAAAAUCCUGGAGAGACACUUCACUGCUCCAAGGCUUUUGAGACACAAGGGAAUCUCAACAACCAGGGAUCAGGAGGGUCCAAAGCCGACAUUCCCAGUCCUGUGAGCUCAGGUGACCUCCUCCGCAGAAGAGAGAUGCUGCUCUGGCCCUGGGAGCUGAAUUCCAAGCCCAGGGUUUGGCUCCUUAAACCCGAGGACCGCCACCUCUUCCCAGUGCUUGCGACCAGCCUCAUUCUAUUUAACUUUGCUCUCAGAUGCCUCAGAUGCUAUAGGUCAGUGAAAGGGCAAGUAGUAAGCUGCCUGCCUCCCUUCCCUCAGACCUCUCCCUCAUAAUUCCAGAGAAGGGCAUUUCUGUCUUUUUAAGCACAGACUAAGGCUGGAACAGUCCAUCCUUAUCCCUCUUCUGGCUUGGGCCCUGACACCUAAGUCUUUCCCACGGUUUAUGUGUGUGCCUCAUUCCUUUCCCACCAAGAAUCCAUCUUAGCGCCUCCUGCCAGCUGCCCUGGUGCUUUCUCCAAGGGCCAUCAGUGUCUUGCCUAGCUUGAGGGCUUAAGUCCUUAUGCUGUGUUAGUUUCGUUGUCAGAACAAAUUAAAAUUUUCAGAGACGC
Molecule: long non-coding RNA, 957 nt
Filed under: Homo sapiens (human)
Lineage: Eukaryota; Metazoa; Chordata; Mammalia; Primates; Hominidae
Description: HSALNT0243699
Source: RNAcentral